CGAUAGCGUAUAUUAAAGUUGUUGCAGUUAAAAAGCUCGUAGUUGAACUUCUGGCAGGAUAGCCGGCCCUACAAAAGCCUGGCGGUCAUGCCAUCCCCUUUGUAUUGCUAAACAUGCACUUUGUUGUGCAGUUUUGUGGUCAAGGAAUUUACUUUGAAAAAUUAGAGUGUUUCAAGCAGGCUUACGCUAUGAAUACAUUAGCAUGGAAUAAUAAUCUAGGACUUCGGUCUUAUUUUGUUGGUUUCUAGGACUGAAGUAAUGAUUGAUAGGGACAGUUGGGGGUGCUAGUAUUCAGAGGCCAGAGGUGAAAUUCUUGGAUUCUCUGAAGACUAACUUAUGCGAAAGCAUUCACCAAGGAUGUCUCCUUUAAUCAAGAACGAAAGUUGGGGGAUCGAAGAUGAUUAGAUACCAU
RNAcentral lists this ribosomal RNA (412 nucleotides) under uncultured eukaryote. Its description in RNAcentral is "bacterial SSU rRNA". It matches the Rfam family "Eukaryotic small subunit ribosomal RNA", at positions 592 to 1018 of the family's 1831-position model. The record is from RNAcentral.